GUGGGGAAUAUUGGACAAUGGGCGCAAGCCUGAUCCAGCCAUGCCGCGUGUGUGAAGAAGGCCUUCGGGUUGUAAAGCACUUUUGUCCGGAAAGAAAUCUUCCAGUUUAAUACGCUGGGAGGAUGACGGUACCGGAAGAAUAAGCACCGGCUAACUUCGUGCCAGCAGCCGCGGUAAUACGAAGGGUGCAAGCGUUACUCGGAAUUACUGGGCGUAAAGCGUGCGUAGGCGGUUUGUUAAGUCUGAUGUGAAAUCCCCGGGCUCAACCUGGGACCUGCAUUGGAAACUGGCGAGCUAGAGUACGGUAGAGGGUGGUGGAAUUCCCGGUGUAGCAGUGAAAUGCGUAGAGAUCGGGAGGAACACUCGUGGCGAAGGCGGCCACCUGGACCAGUACUGACGCUGAGGCACGAAAGCGUGGGGAGCAAACAGGAUUAGAUACCCUAGUAGUCC
Molecule: ribosomal RNA, 450 nt
Filed under: uncultured bacterium
Lineage: Bacteria
Description: bacterial SSU rRNA
Rfam family: Bacterial small subunit ribosomal RNA
Source: RNAcentral